UACGAAGGAGGCUAGCGUUGCUCGGAAUUACUGGGCGUAAAGCGCACGUAGGCGGCUUCUUAAGUCGGUGGUGAAAUCCUGGAGCUCAACUCCAGAACUGCCUUCGAUACUGGGAGCUCGAGUCCGGGAGAGGUGAGUGGAACUGCGAGUGUAGAGGUGAAAUUCGUAGAUAUUCGCAAGAACACCAGUGGCGAAGGCGGCUCACUGGCCCGGUACUGACGCUGAGGUGCGAAAGCGUGGGGAGCGAAGAGG
This 252-nucleotide ribosomal RNA is filed under the name uncultured bacterium. Its description in RNAcentral is "partial 16S ribosomal RNA". It matches the Rfam family "Bacterial small subunit ribosomal RNA", at positions 524 to 776 of the family's 1533-position model. The record is from RNAcentral.